CCGAGCUAGGGCUUUAUGGUUGGCAGAGCAUCGCACUUUAUGCAAUGUCAGGUGCGUUCAUAACGAUCCUUGAAAAUCCGGGUAAGAGAUUUAUUCUCACGCCAGGUCGUACCAAUAACCGCAUCAGGUCUCCAAGGUUAGCAGCCUCUGGUCAAUAGGAUAAUGCAGAUAAGGGAAUUCGGCAAAUUAGAUCCGUAACUUCGGGAAAAGGAUUGGCUCUGAGGAUUGGAUUCAAGGGCCCAUUCAUGAAAGCUUAGCUGUCUUGGAACUGCGGAGGCAACGAAGUGGCUCCAGGAUAGCGAACGCUGGAAUGGGUGGGACGUCUUCAUCGGCUUUCCUUGAAUAAUUAACAAUUAACUCAGAACUGAAGCGGACAAGGGAAUCCGACUGUUAAUAAAACAUAGCAUUGUGAUGGCCUGAAAAGGUGUUGACACAAUGUGAAUUCUGCCCAGUGCUUUGAAUGUCAAAGUGAAGAAAUUCAACCAAAGCGCAGGUAAACGGCGGGAGUAAC
Molecule: ribosomal RNA, 511 nt
Filed under: uncultured eukaryote
Lineage: Eukaryota
Description: eukaryotic LSU rRNA
Rfam family: Eukaryotic large subunit ribosomal RNA
Source: RNAcentral